Anopheles arabiensis is the source of this 355-nucleotide long non-coding RNA. RefSeq lists it as uncharacterized. The record is from RefSeq and is a predicted model, not a curated record. The transcript has 2 exons. NCBI's taxonomy places the organism in Eukaryota, Metazoa, Arthropoda, Insecta, Diptera, Culicidae.
ACAAAAUAGUUUUGUUUGUGUAUGUGUGUGUGUUUGUGUUGGUGUUGAGAAAUGACAUUGCGAGACAGGGUGACCAGAACGGUUCGGUACUUCGUGUUGAAUGGCCAUGUUGUGUUGCUUUCCUUUCUUAGCUUGAGCAAAAAUAGCUGAAAAUCGCUACAUUUCUUAUGAUUUAAGCUCUGCAAGCUCCAGAUUCAUCGGGCUCCUCCAUAUGCCAUGGACAAACAUCGAACCAAAUCUGCCUUGAACCACCGCCAGGAUACAUUUCCGGUCAUACAAUACAUCUCACAUUUCGUGUGUUCUAACCAGUUUUGAAACUCAAGAAGCUUCAUCCAAAAUAUAUUGCUGCCAUUCC